GACGUAGGGCGCGAGCGUUGUCCGGAUUUAUUGGGCGUAAAGAGCUCGUAGGCGGCUUGUCGCGUCGUCCGUGAAAACCCACAGCUCAACUGUGGGCUUGCGGUCGAUACGGGCAGGCUAGAGUUCGGUAGGGGAGACUGGAACUCCUGGUGUAGCGGUGAAAUGCGCAGAUAUCAGGAGGAACACCGGUGGCGAAGGCGGGUCUCUGGGCCGAUACUGACGCUGAGGAGCAAAAGCGUGGGGAGCGAACAGG
Molecule: ribosomal RNA, 253 nt
Filed under: uncultured bacterium
Lineage: Bacteria
Description: partial 16S ribosomal RNA
Rfam family: Bacterial small subunit ribosomal RNA
Source: RNAcentral